GAACCAGCAGGUUCCUGACAACAAGCAAGGCCAUUAUGCUGUCAUUAAGAGCUCUUUCAUCCCAUGCAGAAUAUGCAGAAUGCCUCAACUGUAUUACUUGGAACAGAAAAAGUAUGUGAGAACCUCUGUAGAACAAUUAUUAAAUUAGUCAAAUGGACUCUGGAGAUGAUUUCCAAGGCAAGAAGCAAGUGA
RNAcentral lists this long non-coding RNA (192 nucleotides) under Chinchilla lanigera (long-tailed chinchilla). RNAcentral's name for it is "lncRNA (ENSCLAG00000024730.1)". The record is from RNAcentral. Lineage: Eukaryota; Metazoa; Chordata; Mammalia; Rodentia; Chinchillidae.